Chenopodium quinoa (quinoa) is the source of this 134-nucleotide long non-coding RNA. RefSeq lists it as uncharacterized. The transcript is spliced from 3 exons. The record is from RefSeq and is a predicted model, not a curated record. Lineage: Eukaryota; Viridiplantae; Streptophyta; Magnoliopsida; Caryophyllales; Amaranthaceae.
GUAACUCGCGAACAUGUGUACUGCAUGAGAGUAUUGUAUGAUGAUGACAGAGAUAAAUGGGUUUGUGAAGAAUGCAACUCCUCCAAUCAUUCGUCAAUAAAAGCUCCAACCAAACAACCUAGUGGCACAAGAAG